RNAcentral lists this long non-coding RNA (405 nucleotides) under Daphnia pulex (common water flea). RNAcentral's name for it is "uncharacterized LOC124201084, transcript variant X1". The record is from RNAcentral. Lineage: Eukaryota; Metazoa; Arthropoda; Branchiopoda; Diplostraca; Daphniidae.
GGAUAAUCGUCUGAAUCGUUAAAAACAACCACUAGAUGAUGCCAGUGCUUUCAUGCAGACGAGAUGAAUGUUCCCAAACAUGGUCCCGAGAUGCACGUUUUGUAAAUGGUGAAUCUCAAAUUAAUCAAAGAACUUGUCAUUUCACUUCAUUGACUUUCUCUUCCCAUUUUAAUAUUGAUGAUAAAUUGCAAGAACUUACCGGAGAUCUCUUCCUUUUUGUGGUUCCUUUCAAUUGAUUCAUUUGAGUUUAAUCUCUCGCCGCUGUUCCAGACCUUAUCCACUAGUGGAAUAUGCCGAGAGAUGUUGAACUUAUUCCAGGUUAACCCUUCGCCAUCGUGCUAUAGAAGUUGACGGUUAAAGAAGAGCUUGCUUUCGAUCAAUAACAAUAAAUUAGGUAGAUGUAGA